Molecule: long non-coding RNA, 1227 nt
Organism: Myotis davidii
Lineage: Eukaryota; Metazoa; Chordata; Mammalia; Chiroptera; Vespertilionidae
Exons: 2
Source: RefSeq, a predicted model, not a curated record
GAGGGACUGGGCCGUCCGCCUGCUGGUCCUCACACUGUGGUUCCACCCAGAAUGUGCCGUGUCCACAGGGAACCCCGUCUGGACCAGGUCUCCUCACGGCCUGAAGGUCACACACGUGACAUCAGGGCGGGGCUCCUGCGUUUCAGCCCCGUGUCCGCUGUGGCUCCCUGGGCUCCUCGUCUCACCCCCAUUUCUGUUACGGACCCUGAGCCCAAAGUGACACAGAGCUCCCGCCACGCAGCCCAAGGGAGCGGCGUCAGCUCGGCCCCGCUUUUCCUUCUCACACAGAACUUCCCUCCGCGCUUUCCACAUCGUCAGCCCGGCCGCAGGCUGCUGUCACCCACCUUCCAGCCUGAGCGUGGCUCAGUCACCAGAAGCGGGGGCAGGAGGGGAGGAGAACAUGGGGCUCACUGAGUGGGUAGCAGCCGCUCCCGGUGCUUGGCUCUUGGUGGCCAGGGACACCUUGGAAAGGCACAUCUCCCGAGAGCUGCCUGUGUGCCACGGCCCACGGCUCACGGCUCACGGCCCAGCACAGCCCACGGCUCACGGCUCACGGCCCACAACCCAGCACGUCCCUUCUCAGGUGGGAGUGACUUCCUCGCACUAAUGGUUUUACAGAUGAGGCUUAGCUUCAUGUAGGAACCUGGAGACAAAACCCUCUUUCCCAUCUGUUCCUCCGACUACGGCUGUCAUUUCCCAUCAGAAAACUGCCUGGAAUUGUCUUAUGCUUGAACUUUAGGGCGAAUUACCCCACUUACAGGGUUUGGGUGUAUGUGGUUUAUGACUUGGGACGCACGGGGAUAACAUGGUAGUUAGGGGGACGCCUCCACAGAGUGGGAGGAAAACCCCAGUUCCCGCCACCUGCCCCUCAGCCAGGAUGGGACAGCCUUAAGGCCAUGCUGCCACCAGGAGCAAACAUGGGGUGGGCCUCGCUGGCCUCAGGCCAUGGUCCUGCUGGGCCGCGACCUCCCGCGCGGGGCCCAGCGCAGCUGUCACGGGCAUUGGCCUGAAGCUCUGGAGCUGGUUCUGUCGGCCUCCGGGAGGGGCCGGCGAAGGGGGAACCCAGCAACCUCCACACGGCGACCUCAGGCGAGGGGGCGUUCGCUAAAGCCAAAGGGCCGUUCCAUCCUCAAGCAGGUUUUCCGCAUGCGUACGCUAAAAAGUUGACAAGUUCGUUUACCUGGUUUCAUGUAGACGCGUUUGCGUGAUUAAAAUUAGGUAUGUUUA